RNAcentral lists this ribosomal RNA (443 nucleotides) under uncultured bacterium. RNAcentral describes it as "partial 16S ribosomal RNA". It matches the Rfam family "Bacterial small subunit ribosomal RNA", at positions 338 to 795 of the family's 1533-position model. The record is from RNAcentral.
CCUACGGGAGGCAGCAGUGGGGAAUAUUGGGCAAUGGGCGCAAGCCUGACCCAGCAACGCCGCGUGAAGGAAGAAUGCUUUCGGGUUGUAAACUUCUUUUUUCAGGGACGUAGCAAGUGCCGGUACCUGAGUAAUAAGCCACGGCUAACUACGUGCCAGCACCCGCGGUAAUACGUAGGUGGCAAGCGUUAUCCGGAUUUACUGGGUGUAAAGGGCGUGUAGGCGGGAAAGCAAGUCAGAUGUGAAAACAAUGGGCUCAACCGUUGGACUGCAUUUGAAACUGUUUUUCUUGAGUACUGGAGAGGUAGACGGAAUUCGUGGUGUAGCGGUGAAAUGCGUAGAUAUUAGGAAGAACACCGGUGGCGAAGGCAGUCUGCUGGACAGCAACUGACGCUGAGGCGCGAAAGCGUGGGGAGCAAACAGGAUUAGAUACCCGAGUAGUC